GCUACCUGAUGAAAUAACGAGAAGACUUUUCCUCCCCGCAUCCUGUUCGAAUCCCCUCUGUCUCUCUCGGUUCCAUUCCCCUUCUCCCUCUCCCCCGCAAGCUCCGCUCGAUCUCCAGCGCCGUCGAGUGGCCCGACGGGGGCGAAGCUCCGACGAGCAGCGCUGGAGGAGUUUCAACGGCGCCUGAAGCUUCCUGGGAGUGGAUCGCCAUGGAUUGAGGCUCCUUCGGUAGCGCGCCGCAAAUCGAAGAGACUCGGGCUUGGCGGACGUCGUGAGGCGAUUUGGUGAUGAUACCCGGUGUGGCGGCUCUGCGAAUCGACGAUCCUGAGGUGGAGGCGCCCGCUGCCUGAGGUUCUGUUUCAUGGGCAGCAGAGUUCCAAGGUGUGUAGAUGUCAAGAAGAUUUGACAGUUGUUCAUACAGUCUUAGAGACAAUUGUACAUCAUGUUCUACUUUCCAGGUUAUUUUGUCCAAUGCAGAUUUACAUGACCAAGAGUACUGUCGGCAUGUCAUUUUAUUGGGUGUUCUGAUGCUCAAGUUGGUUGUUCUGGAGCACAAUUCAUGUUUGCUAGCCUAUAGUUCUAAGUAAAUCUACAAAUUACUGUUAAAACUGAUGCCUUUUGGUUACUACUAAAUGCAGAAUAAUGCACAUACUCAGUUUUAAAGAAGCGUGUUUUUC
This is a long non-coding RNA of Lolium rigidum, 677 nucleotides long. RefSeq lists it as uncharacterized. The transcript is spliced from 2 exons. Lineage: Eukaryota; Viridiplantae; Streptophyta; Magnoliopsida; Poales; Poaceae. The record is from RefSeq and is a predicted model, not a curated record.